UACGUAGGGUGCGAGCGUUGUCCGGAUUUACUGGGCGUAAAGGGCGCGUAGGCGGCGUGACAAGUCACUUGUGAAAUCUCCGGGCUUAACUCGGAACGGUCAAGUGAUACUGUCGUGCUAGAGUACAGAAGGGGCAACUGGAAUUCUCGGUGUAGCGGUGAAAUGCGUAGAUAUCGAGAGGAACACCUGCGGCGAAGGCGGCACGCUGGACCUCUUCUGACGCUGAGGCGCGAAAGCCAGGGGAGCAAACGGG
Molecule: ribosomal RNA, 253 nt
Filed under: uncultured bacterium
Lineage: Bacteria
Description: partial 16S ribosomal RNA
Rfam family: Bacterial small subunit ribosomal RNA
Source: RNAcentral